AGGUAUGUACCUAUAUAAACCUCAAACGAACUAGCAAUUUUGAGAUACAUAUUUAAAUAUUUAUUCUAUCUCAUUGUCAGUUCUGUUUCUAGAAUUAGAUAAAAAGUAAACACAAUGGAGAAGCUUACAAUUUUCGUGAUCGGUUUAUUGAUUGUCUGCGUUACACUAGUUCCAGAAAUUGAAUCUCGACGAAUGGACUCUAGAAUGAAAUCUAGAAUGUAUUGUUACCCGAAUGGAGUAUGGUUCGAUGAUGAAAACACGUGCAUGAUGAUAUGUAAAAAAGGUUGUGAACGUGAAGGAUGCGGCGGAUUUAGAGCCUGUGGGGAAAUAGCGGACGCACCUUUGGGAACGCGUAGUUGUCAUUGCGGGCAUACGUAAUGUACCUGUGAUCACAAGGCCCACAAGCCAAUCAUUUAGGAUUAAAAUAUAAUUUCGAUUUAAUUAAUCUUAAUCCUUAUUCAAUUAUUAAAGAUAUAAUAUCACAAUAAAUCCAUUCUAAACACAA
Molecule: long non-coding RNA, 505 nt
Organism: Planococcus citri (citrus mealybug)
Lineage: Eukaryota; Metazoa; Arthropoda; Insecta; Hemiptera; Pseudococcidae
Exons: 2
Source: RefSeq, a predicted model, not a curated record